RNAcentral lists this long non-coding RNA (2370 nucleotides) under Heterocephalus glaber (naked mole-rat). RNAcentral's name for it is "lncRNA (ENSHGLG00100047434.1)". The record is from RNAcentral. Lineage: Eukaryota; Metazoa; Chordata; Mammalia; Rodentia; Bathyergidae.
CCCGGCCGCGCGGGCUCGGCCGCUCCGAACCGUCUGGCGGACUUGGCACGGGCCCCGCUCCCGGGCCCCCGCGGCGCGUGGCAGGCUGCGGCUUCAUUAUCCUGAUUGAUUCCUCCUGCUCCCGACACCGUGGGGCCCGGGCCGAGGAGGGCGGGGCGGGAUCUGCGGGCCGCUUCCCGGGCGCCCGGUGGACGUGCGGGGCCGGGGUGCAGAAGGAGCGCGGGGUGGACGGAGAACUGAGGCGGCGGGCGCCGGGCAGGCGGGAAAAGGUGACAUCGCGAGGAACGACGGUCACGGCCGGGCAGGGCCACGCCAGCCUCGUCCCCUUCGGGUUGAGAUCUCGGGUUUGUCAGCGGUUCCCUGGGAGAACAGGUGAUGUGUGGACCUCAGGACUCUACCGAAGUUCUCUGGCCAGGAGCAGAAGGGGAGCUGAGGGGCUGCCCUCAUCCCUGUGCUCUUCUGGGGGCUCCCGGAGGGAGCCAGAUGUGCACAGCAGCCUCUCCGGGAUGAGGAUGUUUACUGCAGCGCAACCUCUCAGGUUCUAGAACCUUCCACAGUGUCACCAUGUCUCCAGUGUCUCCCCUCCUUUCCAAAUACGGCACUCUUGCCCUGGAGUUUUCAGCCAGAAGCAAAUUACUUCCUAUGGAAAAGACAGAUCCUAGAAUGAAACUUCCCAGUUUGGGAAGAGAGAUGCCAGGGAGUGGUGUUUCCCUGCAGGAAGCAGAGGCAGGUCAGUGCAUGGACAGGGCCGGGCCAGGCCGCACAGACUCUUGGCCAAUGUGGCCCUGUGUACAGCUCCCUCAGUCUCCCCACCGGCCACGCCCAGCCGGCUGCCCUGUCCUCAGCCCCUCAGCGCCACUUCCUAUUAAUACAAGCCGCGUGGGCCCCUCGCUGUGGUGUCUCCAGGCAGAAAAGGAAGCCACAGCCGCCUAGUGGCUGCCAAGGAGGCCGGCAGGAAGGGGCAUCUCCACCAGGCGUCUCCUGGGAAACAGCGAGCUCCCCAGAGAAGGGACAUUUGGAAACAAAACUCCUGCCUGUGUUGUGUGCUUCACGUGUGUUGGGUGGGAGAGGCGCUGAGAAGCCUCCUCGGCCCCCCAACUCCUGUCUCCUCAGGGAAGCCUUCUCAGCGCCUCUCCUCACUCCCUCCCCACUUGGGCUCUGCUGGGACUGGAAAGUGGCCCAGAAAGUGGCCUUCAGUUUAGGGUGCAGCUGGAAGGGGAGAGCCCUGGGCCCAGAGUCUGAGGCCCCACUUCGGGCUUCUCUGCCUCCCCUGUCACCCCCCCCUGCCUAUUGCACCCCCUUUCCCAGUCCUCGGUUGUUCCUUUGCAAAGUGAGGGUGCGGAUGAGAUCACCCCAUCGCUCCCCACCCUCCCGGGGGUCCUCCACAGGCCACGCCUUCCCACCCUUGGGAUGGACGCCCCACAGGAGCUCAGGGCUCCUUGUGUGACCUGACUGGUGGCCCAGCCUGGGCUGGCUUGGCCCUCGCGCCUGGUGCGCCUGGGUAUUUGAGGGUCCAUGGAGAACUGCAGAGGCUUUGGGGGUCUCCAGGCCCCAGGCCUGAGGCUCUCUCUUGCUGUCCUGCACCAGGGGCCACUGCCUGCCACAUCUCCUCAGUGGCGACCCCUUCUCAAAGGACCCUCUUCAUAGUGUCCUGAGCCACGCUCAGGGAGCAGCACCAAACCACCUGGGAAACGGGAGUGGGUGACAGCCCUGUGCCCCUAACUCACCCGCGCCCUUUGCCAUCCUUUGCUCUUGAGGGACCGAGCCCCAUCCACGCUCAGCAAGCCCGACCUCCCCAGUAAAGUGCAAAUGGCAAGGGGAUGAGCAGUAAAAAGAAUAGAGAUGUGGGGCUGGGGUGUAGCUCAGUGGCGCCCGCACCUGCUCGGCAGGCGCAAGGUCCUGAGUUCAAACCCAGGUGCCAGAAAAGAUAAUAAUAAUAGAGAUGUGUUCUGUGCAUGUACCAACUCCUCACAAGGAAUGUAAUCGUGGUGUACUGCAGGCAUGGAAUAAUAAAUUUUUUAAUGAGAUACUAAAAAUAGGGGUUGGGGGACUUUGGACUCCCCAGACGGAGUCAGAGAUGCCCAAGUGCAAGCCCUCUCCCUGAUCUUACCACCUAGAGACCCCUUCCGCAGGAGUCCCCCCCCUUGUGGGCAGGGCAGAGGUUGAUUGAGAGCUCCCCAUGCAGAAACAGCCGCCGCUCUGAGGAAGCCCUGGCCACAGGGGUGGGGAAUGGGAGGCAGAAGCGCGUGGGGAGGGUACAGAUCCCAACUCUCCUUGUCACCUUUGUCCUGGGGGCCUACCGUGCAUUGUGCCGGGCGUGGGCUCUGUCCACUUUGACCUAGACUAUGGCGCUCUGUCCCCACCCCAGGC